UCCGCCAUAGCUCAGUCGGUUAGAAAGUUGGUCUAGUGAGCCCAUGAUCGCAGGUUCGACCCCUGCUGGCGGCA
Non-coding RNA from Parelaphostrongylus tenuis, 74 nucleotides. The record is from the annotation of a GenBank genome assembly. Lineage: Eukaryota; Metazoa; Nematoda; Chromadorea; Rhabditida; Metastrongylidae.